CGGUAUAUUGUUGAGCCUUGAACCGACUCUAAUUUCUCUAAUUGCCCAAAUGGAAUGAUGGAACUUUGUUGGAACCUACCAUUACAUUAACAUCACUAUUUUAUUAAUUCACAUAAUAUAAACCCUAAAGCUAUCUUUUAGCUAGCUUUCAAUUGCCACUUUAAAUGGCUAUCUAUGUUCAUUAUCUUAAUUACUAUAAAAUGAAUGAACAUCCUUAACAAUAAACAGCUCAUAAUCCCAAUUACUAGCCAUUUUCUACAACUAAAAAUUGAAUUUAGUUCAUCACUCACCCUUGGGUUUCUUUGUAGUUGAAUUCUCUUCCAAUAGCUUCUAAAUAAAUGGGGUAAUUCUCUUUUUCUCUCUCUAAAAUGCCUAACUAGUGAGAGAAAGUAUGGAAAUAAGAUUUUUUUAGGGUUUUAAAGUGAGAGGAUGAAAUAGCACAAGGGUUUAUGGAAAGGUGCACCAAAAGCAUGAAAAUUGGAGCUAGAGAGAGAAAGUUAUGGAAGCUUGAAGAAAACUCCCCUGGACGAAUUGAAGAAACGUG
RNAcentral lists this long non-coding RNA (544 nucleotides) under Theobroma cacao (cacao). RNAcentral's name for it is "long non-coding RNA (TCAC_LNC005851)". Lineage: Eukaryota; Viridiplantae; Streptophyta; Magnoliopsida; Malvales; Malvaceae. The record is from RNAcentral.